Non-coding RNA from Triticum urartu, 453 nucleotides. Lineage: Eukaryota; Viridiplantae; Streptophyta; Magnoliopsida; Poales; Poaceae. The record is from RefSeq and is a predicted model, not a curated record.
UUGUGGCGCGUGUAUUUAACUAUUUAUUUGUGCCACAAUGAUGUUUUGCUACAAUUACUGAUAUAUUGACUCAUUGGUAUUGCUAGCUUAUUGCACAUUUAUUUUUCUACUAGAAGCGUUCCACGCGCUUCGCUGCGGCAUCUUGUGAAAGAUGCAGUGCUUCCAAGAUUUAUAUCAAAGAGAGGCACAAAGAUGCAGUGCUUCCAAGCUGAUAUGCAAUGCUUUAUAGUAUGCCUUAUACGGUUGAUAUUCUAAAGAUGCUUGUAAGGUGCCUUAUCUAUAUUAUUUUACUGAUGCUGACUAAUCAAAGACUGCCUACACAACUUGUCUUGUAUAAAUAAAAGAAAAAGUUGGCUCACUGACGCAUCAACUUCCUGAUGCAUAUACAGUGCAGGAGGAUGCAGAUAUGGGCACAACAAUGGAGCUAAUACUUCUACGAACAUGGUCAAUCCC